This 2880-nucleotide ribosomal RNA is filed under the name Vibrio parahaemolyticus 10290. Its description in RNAcentral is "bacterial LSU rRNA". It matches the Rfam family "Bacterial large subunit ribosomal RNA". Lineage: Bacteria; Pseudomonadati; Pseudomonadota; Gammaproteobacteria; Vibrionales; Vibrionaceae. The record is from RNAcentral.
UAAGUGACUAAGCGUACACGGUGGAUGCCUUGGCAGUCAGAGGCGAUGAAAGACGUAGUAACUGCGAUAAGCCCAGAUUAGGUAGUAACAACCAUUUGAGUCCUGGGAUUUCUGAAUGGGGAACCCACGUGCAUAAGCACGUAUCCUUACCUGAAUACAUAGGGUAAGGAGGCGAACCGGGGGAACUGAAACAUCUAAGUACCCCGAGGAAAAGAAAUCAACCGAGAUUCCGAAAGUAGCGGCGAGCGAAAUUGGACUAGCCCUUAAGCUUUACACGCGUUAGACGAACGGUCUGGAAAGUCCGACGAUACAGGGUGAUAGUCCCGUAGUUGACGACGUGUGUUCAUGAAAUCGAGUAGGGCGGGACACGUGAUAUCCUGUCUGAAUAUGGGGGGACCAUCCUCCAAGGCUAAAUACUACUGACUGACCGAUAGUGAACCAGUACCGUGAGGGAAAGGCGAAAAGAACCCCUGUGAGGGGAGUGAAAUAGAACCUGAAACCGUGUACGUACAAGCCGUAGGAGCAGGCUUUGUCCUGUGACUGCGUACCUUUUGAUUAAUGGUCAGCGACUUAUAUUCAGUGGCAAGGUUAACCAUCUAGGGAGCCCGUAGGGAAACCGAGUUCUUACUGGGCGUUCAGUCUCUGGAUAUAGACCCGAAACCAGGUGAUCUAGCCAUGGGCAGGUGAAGGUUGAGUAACAUCAACUGGAGGACCGAACCGACUAAUGUUGAAAAAUUAGCGGAUGACUUGUGGCUACGGUGAAAGGCCAAAUCAAAACCUGGAGAUAGCUGGUCUCCCGAAAGGCUAUUUAGGUAGCGCCUCGGACGAAUACUACUGGGGUAGAGCACGUUAAGGCUAGGGGUCAUCCCCGACUUACCAACCCUUUGCAAACUCCGAAUACCAGUAAGUACUAUCCGGGAGACACACGGCGGGUGCUAACGUCCGGUCCGUGGAGAGGGAACAACCCAGACGCCAGCUUAAAGCCAAUACUAUAAUGGAAACGAUGUCUGGGAGCGGCGGCGGAGCGCCAGGAUGUUGGCUUAGAGAAGCAAGCCAUCAUUUAAAGAAAGCGUAAUAGCUCACUGGUCGAGUCGGCCUGCGCGGAAGAUGUAACGGGGCUAAGUAGUAAACCGAAGCUGCGGCAAUAUACUUUUGUAUAUUGGGUAGGGGAGCGUUCUGUAAGCGGUUGAAGGUGUGUGGUAACGCAUGCUGGACGUAUCAGAAGUGCGAAUGCUGACAUGAGUAACGAUAAAGGGGGUGAAAAACCUCCUCGCCGGAAGACCAAGGGUUCCUGUCCAACGUUAAUCGGGGCAGGGUAAGUCGACCCCUAAGGCGAGGCCGAAAGGCGUAGUCGAUGGGAAACGGGUUAAUAUUCCCGUACUUCUUACAAUUGCGAUGGGGGGACGGAGAAGGCUAGGUGGGCCUGGCGACGGUUGUCCAGGUUCAAGUGCGUAGGCUUAAGAGUUAGGUAAAUCCGGCUCUUUUUAAGGCUGAGACACGACGUCGAGCACCUACGGGUGUGAAGUCAUUGAUGCCAUGCUUCCAGGAAAAGCCUCUAAGCUUCAGUGUAAAGGAAUCGUACCCAAACCGACACAGGUGGUCGGGUAGAGAAUACCAAGGCGCUUGAGAGAACUCGGGUGAAGGAACUAGGCAAAAUGGUACCGUAACUUCGGGAGAAGGUACGCUCUUGAUGGUGAAGUCCCUUGCGGAUGGAGCUGACGAGAGUCGCAGAUACCAGGUGGCUGCAACUGUUUAUUAAAAACACAGCACUGUGCAAAAUCGUAAGAUGACGUAUACGGUGUGACGCCUGCCCGGUGCCGGAAGGUUAAUUGAUGGGGUUAGACUUCGGUCGAAGCUCUUGAUCGAAGCCCCGGUAAACGGCGGCCGUAACUAUAACGGUCCUAAGGUAGCGAAAUUCCUUGUCGGGUAAGUUCCGACCUGCACGAAUGGCGUAAUGAUGGCCACGCUGUCUCCACCCGAGACUCAGUGAAAUUGAAAUCGCUGUGAAGAUGCAGUGUACCCGCGGCUAGACGGAAAGACCCCGUGAACCUUUACUACAGCUUGGCACUGAACAUUGACCCUACAUGUGUAGGAUAGGUGGGAGGCUUUGAAGCACGUACGCCAGUAUGUGUGGAGCCGUCCUUGAAAUACACCCCUUGUAGUGUUGAUGUUCUAACGUCGACCCCUUAUCGGGGUUGCGGACAGUGCCUGGUGGGUAGUUUGACUGGGGCGGUCUCCUCCCAAAGAGUAACGGAGGAGCACGAAGGUGGGCUAAUCACGGUUGGACAUCGUGAGGUUAGUGCAAUGGCAUAAGCCCGCUUGACUGCGAGAAUGACAAUUCGAGCAGGUGCGAAAGCAGGUCAUAGUGAUCCGGUGGUUCUGAAUGGAAGGGCCAUCGCUCAACGGAUAAAAGGUACUCCGGGGAUAACAGGCUGAUACCGCCCAAGAGUUCAUAUCGACGGCGGUGUUUGGCACCUCGAUGUCGGCUCAUCACAUCCUGGGGCUGAAGUCGGUCCCAAGGGUAUGGCUGUUCGCCAUUUAAAGUGGUACGCGAGCUGGGUUUAGAACGUCGUGAGACAGUUCGGUCCCUAUCUGCCGUGGGCGUUGGAAGAUUGAAGGGGGCUGCUCCUAGUACGAGAGGACCGGAGUGGACGAACCUCUGGUGUUCGGGUUGUGUCGCCAGACGCAUUGCCCGGUAGCUAAGUUCGGAAUCGAUAACCGCUGAAAGCAUCUAAGCGGGAAGCGAGCCCUGAGAUGAGUCUUCCCUGAUACUUUAAGUAUCCUAAAGGGUUGUCGGAGACUACGACGUUGAUAGGUCAGGUGUGUAAGUGCUGUGAGGCAUUGAGCUAACUGAUACUAAUUGCCCGUGAGGCUUAACCA